RNAcentral lists this ribosomal RNA (431 nucleotides) under uncultured bacterium. Its description in RNAcentral is "partial 16S ribosomal RNA". It matches the Rfam family "Bacterial small subunit ribosomal RNA", at positions 29 to 507 of the family's 1533-position model. The record is from RNAcentral.
AACGAACGCUGGCGGCAGGCUUAACACAUGCAAGUCGAGCGCCCCGCAAGGGGAGCGGCAGACGGGUGAGUAACGCGUGGGAACGUACCUUUUGGUUCGGAACAACUCCGGGAAACUGGAGCUAAUACCGGAUAAGCCCUAACGGGGAAAGAUUUAUCGCAGAAAGAUCGGCCCGCGUCUGAUUAGCUAGUUGGUGAGGUAACGGCUCACCAAGGCGACGAUCAGUAGCUGGUCUGAGAGGAUGAUCAGCCACACUGGGACUGAGACACGGCCCAGACUCCUACGGGAAGCAGCAGUGGGGAAUAUUGGACAAUGGGCGCAAGCCUGAUCCAGCCAUGCCGCGUGAGUGAUGAAGGCCUUAGGGUUGUAAAGCUCUUUUGUCCGGGAAGAUAAUGACUGUACCGGAAGAAUAAGCCCCGGCUAACUUCGUG